RNAcentral lists this ribosomal RNA (2906 nucleotides) under Escherichia coli. Its description in RNAcentral is "23S ribosomal RNA". It matches the Rfam family "Bacterial large subunit ribosomal RNA". Lineage: Bacteria; Pseudomonadati; Pseudomonadota; Gammaproteobacteria; Enterobacterales; Enterobacteriaceae. The record is from RNAcentral.
GGUUAAGCGACUAAGCGUACACGGUGGAUGCCCUGGCAGUCAGAGGCGAUGAAGGACGUGCUAAUCUGCGAUAAGCGUCGGUAAGGUGAUAUGAACCGUUAUAACCGGCGAUUUCCGAAUGGGGAAACCCAGUGUGUUUCGACACACUAUCAUUAACUGAAUCCAUAGGUUAAUGAGGCGAACCGGGGGAACUGAAACAUCUAAGUACCCCGAGGAAAAGAAAUCAACCGAGAUUCCCCCAGUAGCGGCGAGCGAACGGGGAGCAGCCCAGAGCCUGAAUCAGUAUGUGUGUUAGUGGAAGCGUCUGGAAAGGCGCGCGAUACAGGGUGACAGCCCCGUACACAAAAAUGCACAUAUUGUGAGCUCGAUGAGUAGGGCGGGACACGUGGUAUCCUGUCUGAAUAUGGGGGGACCAUCCUCCAAGGCUAAAUACUCCUGACUGACCGAUAGUGAACCAGUACCGUGAGGGAAAGGCGAAAAGAACCCCGGCGAGGGGAGUGAAAAAGAACCUGAAACCGUGUACGUACAAGCAGUGGGAGCACGCUUAGGCGUGUGACUGCGUACCUUUUGUAUAAUGGGUCAGCGACUUAUAUUCUGUAGCAAGGUUAACCGAAUAGGGGAGCCGAAGGGAAACCGAGUCUUAACUGGGCGUUAAGUUGCAGGGUAUAGACCCGAAACCCGGUGAUCUAGCCAUGGGCAGGUUGAAGGUUGGGUAACACUAACUGGAGGACCGAACCGACUAAUGUUGAAAAAUUAGCGGAUGACUUGUGGCUGGGGGUGAAAGGCCAAUCAAACCGGGAGAUAGCUGGUUCUCCCCGAAAGCUAUUUAGGUAGCGCCUCGUGAAUUCAUCUCCGGGGGUAGAGCACUGUUUCGGCAAGGGGGUCAUCCCGACUUACCAACCCGAUGCAAACUGCGAAUACCGGAGAAUGUUAUCACGGGAGACACACGGCGGGUGCUAACGUCCGUCGUGAAGAGGGAAACAACCCAGACCGCCAGCUAAGGUCCCAAAGUCAUGGUUAAGUGGGAAACGAUGUGGGAAGGCCCAGACAGCCAGGAUGUUGGCUUAGAAGCAGCCAUCAUUUAAAGAAAGCGUAAUAGCUCACUGGUCGAGUCGGCCUGCGCGGAAGAUGUAACGGGGCUAAACCAUGCACCGAAGCUGCGGCAGCGACGCUGAUGCGUUGUUGGGUAGGGGAGCGUUCUGUAAGCCUGCGAAGGUGUGCUGUGAGGCAUGCUGGAGGUAUCAGAAGUGCGAAUGCUGACAUAAGUAACGAUAAAGCGGGUGAAAAGCCCGCUCGCCGGAAGACCAAGGGUUCCUGUCCAACGUUAAUCGGGGCAGGGUGAGUCGACCCCUAAGGCGAGGCCGAAAGGCGUAGUCGAUGGGAAACAGGUUAAUAUUCCUGUACUUGGUGUUACUGCGAAGGGGGGACGGAGAAGGCUAUGUUGGCCGGGCGACGGUUGUCCCGGUUUAAGCGUGUAGGCUGGUUUUCCAGGCAAAUCCGGAAAAUCAAGGCUGAGGCGUGAUGACGAGGCACUACGGUGCUGAAGCAACAAAUGCCCUGCUUCCAGGAAAAGCCUCUAAGCAUCAGGUAACAUCAAAUCGUACCCCAAACCGACACAGGUGGUCAGGUAGAGAAUACCAAGGCGCUUGAGAGAACUCGGGUGAAGGAACUAGGCAAAAUGGUGCCGUAACUUCGGGAGAAGGCACGCUGAUAUGUAGGUGAAGUCCCUCGCGGAUGGAGCUGAAAUCAGUCGAAGAUACCAGCUGGCUGCAACUGUUUAUUAAAAACACAGCACUGUGCAAACACGAAAGUGGACGUAUACGGUGUGACGCCUGCCCGGUGCCGGAAGGUUAAUUGAUGGGGUUAGCCGCAAGGCGAAGCUCUUGAUCGAAGCCCCGGUAAACGGCGGCCGUAACUAUAACGGUCCUAAGGUAGCGAAAUUCCUUGUCGGGUAAGUUCCGACCUGCACGAAUGGCGUAAUGAUGGCCAGGCUGUCUCCACCCGAGACUCAGUGAAAUUGAACUCGCUGUGAAGAUGCAGUGUACCCGCGGCAAGACGGAAAGACCCCGUGAACCUUUACUAUAGCUUGACACUGAACAUUGAGCCUUGAUGUGUAGGAUAGGUGGGAGGCUUUGAAGUGUGGACGCCAGUCUGCAUGGAGCCGACCUUGAAAUACCACCCUUUAAUGUUUGAUGUUCUAACGUUGACCCGUAAUCCGGGUUGCGGACAGUGUCUGGUGGGUAGUUUGACUGGGGCGGUCUCCUCCUAAAGAGUAACGGAGGAGCACGAAGGUUGGCUAAUCCUGGUCGGACAUCAGGAGGUUAGUGCAAUGGCAUAAGCCAGCUUGACUGCGAGCGUGACGGCGCGAGCAGGUGCGAAAGCAGGUCAUAGUGAUCCGGUGGUUCUGAAUGGAAGGGCCAUCGCUCAACGGAUAAAAGGUACUCCGGGGAUAACAGGCUGAUACCGCCCAAGAGUUCAUAUCGACGGCGGUGUUUGGCACCUCGAUGUCGGCUCAUCACAUCCUGGGGCUGAAGUAGGUCCCAAGGGUAUGGCUGUUCGCCAUUUAAAGUGGUACGCGAGCUGGGUUUAGAACGUCGUGAGACAGUUCGGUCCCUAUCUGCCGUGGGCGCUGGAGAACUGAGGGGGGCUGCUCCUAGUACGAGAGGACCGGAGUGGACGCAUCACUGGUGUUCGGGUUGUCAUGCCAAUGGCACUGCCCGGUAGCUAAAUGCGGAAGAGAUAAGUGCUGAAAGCAUCUAAGCACGAAACUUGCCCCGAGAUGAGUUCUCCCUGACUCCUUGAGAGUCCUGAAGGAACGUUGAAGACGACGACGUUGAUAGGCCGGGUGUGUAAGCGCAGCGAUGCGUUGAGCUAACCGGUACUAAUGAACCGUGAGGCUUAACCUU